Molecule: ribosomal RNA, 498 nt
Filed under: uncultured bacterium
Lineage: Bacteria
Description: partial 16S ribosomal RNA
Rfam family: Bacterial small subunit ribosomal RNA
Source: RNAcentral
AUUGAACGCUGGCGGCAUGCCUUACACAUGCAAGUCGAACGGUAACAGGUCUCCGGAUGCUGACGAGUGGCGAAUGGGUGAGUAAUACAUCGGAACGUGCCUAGUAGUGGGGGAUAACUACUCGAAAGAGUGGCUAAUACCGCAUGAGAUCUACGGAUGAAAGCAGGGGAUCGCAAGACCUUGUGCUACUAGAGCGGCCGAUGGCAGAUUAGGUAGUUGGUGGGAUAAAAGCUUACCAAGCCGACGAUCUGUAGCUGGUCUGAGAGGACGAUCAGCCACACUGGGACUGAGACACGGCCCAGACUCCUACGGGAGGCAGCAGUGGGGAAUUUUGGACAAUGGGCGAAAGCCUGAUCCAGCAAUGCCGCGUGCAGGAUGAAGGCCUUCGGGUUGUAAACUGCUUUUGUCCGGAACGAAAAGCCCCGGGUUAAUACCCUGGGGUCAUGACGGUACCGUAAGAAUAAGCACCGGCUAACUACGUGCCAGCCGCCGCAGUAA